Molecule: ribosomal RNA, 217 nt
Filed under: Clostridioides difficile
Lineage: Bacteria; Bacillati; Bacillota; Clostridia; Peptostreptococcales; Peptostreptococcaceae
Description: partial 23S ribosomal RNA
Rfam family: Bacterial large subunit ribosomal RNA
Source: RNAcentral
ACCACGGGACACGUGAAACCCUGUGGGAAGCAGGAGGGACCACCCUCCAAGGCUAAAUACUACCUAGUGACCGAUAGCGUAUAGUACCGUGAGGGAAAGGUGAAAAGAACCCCGGGAGGGGAGUGAAAUAGAACCUGAAACCCUGCACUUACAAGCUGUGGAAGCACAUUUCUUGUGUGACCGCGUACUUUUUGUAGAACGGGCCAACGAGUUACGU